This 240-nucleotide long non-coding RNA is filed under the name Hordeum vulgare. Its description in RNAcentral is "long non-coding RNA (HVUL_LNC018364)". Lineage: Eukaryota; Viridiplantae; Streptophyta; Magnoliopsida; Poales; Poaceae. The record is from RNAcentral.
GCGGUGGAGCGGAAGUUCUCUCUUUAUUUCUAAGGGUUUCUGUAUAUAUGGGUUUUUUGGCAUUGGAAUCACGCUAAACGGAGCCACACGGGGACCAUAAGCCAUCAGUAUGCGACCAUGGGGGGGUGGCCGCACCCUGUUGGCUUGUGGCCCACAGGUGUCUCCCCUCUCGUGGUUCUUCACUCCAAUAUUUAUCAUAUGUUCCAGAAAAAUCAUCAAAAAGUUUCAGGCGAUUCCAAG